CCCUUAGAUGUUCUGGGCCGCACGCGCGCUACACUGAUGCAUUCAACGAGUUUCUUCCUGGUCCGAGAGGAAUGGGUAACCUUUUGAAAGUGCACCGUGAUAGGGAUAGACUAUUGCAAUUAUUGGUCUUCAACGAGGAAUUCCUAGUAGACGUAGUUCAUCAGACUGCAUCGAUUACGUCCCUGCCCUUUGUACACACCGCCCGUCGCUCCUACCGAUUGAAUGCUCAGGUGAGCCAUUCGGACUUUCAUCAUGCUGGUUUCCAGUUUUGAUGAAGGAAAGUCUUGCGAACCUUAUCAUUUAGAGGAAGGAGAAGUCGUAACA
RNAcentral lists this ribosomal RNA (324 nucleotides) under uncultured eukaryote. Its description in RNAcentral is "partial 18S ribosomal RNA". It matches the Rfam family "Eukaryotic small subunit ribosomal RNA", at positions 1470 to 1796 of the family's 1831-position model. The record is from RNAcentral.